UAAGCAUAUCAAUAAGCGGAGGAAAAGAAACCAACAGGGAUUGCCCUAGUAACGGCGAGUGAAGCGGCAAAUGCUCAGAUUUGAAAUCUCUUUGAUUUAUUAAAGCGAAUUGUAAUCUGGAGAAGGUUGAAUGGCCGAAUAAUCUGAUUUAAUUUAUUUGGAAUAAUAAAUCAUAGAGGGUGAGAAUCCCGUGACUAUCAGAAGCUAGGCUAUUUAAUUCACCUUUCAACGAGUCGAGUUGUUUGGGAAUGCAGCUCUAAAUGGGUGGUAAAUUUCAUCUAAAGCUAAAUACCUGCCAGAGACCGAUAGCGAACAAGUAGAGUGAUCGAAAGAUGAAAAGCACUUUGAAAAGAGAGUUAAAAAGUACGUGAAAUUGUUGAAAGGGAAGCGCUUGCGAUUAGACUUGAUAUUUAAAUUCGAUCAAUUAUUUAAUUCGAUUUAUUUUUUAUUUAUCAGGCCAGCAUCAGUUUGAUGAGAUUAAUAAAAUUAAUUGGAAUGUAGUAAUUAUUUCGAUAAUUAUGUUAUAGCCUUUUAAAUAAUUAAUUUACAUCAGACUGAGGUCUGCCCCUUGUGGAAGGAUGCUGGCAUAAUGAUCGUAAGCGACCCGUCUUGAA
This 614-nucleotide ribosomal RNA is filed under the name Echinoplaca furcata subsp. neotropica. RNAcentral describes it as "partial large subunit ribosomal RNA". It matches the Rfam family "Eukaryotic large subunit ribosomal RNA", at positions 35 to 658 of the family's 3401-position model. The record is from RNAcentral. Lineage: Eukaryota; Fungi; Ascomycota; Lecanoromycetes; Ostropales; Graphidaceae.